RNAcentral lists this ribosomal RNA (236 nucleotides) under uncultured Actinomycetales bacterium. Its description in RNAcentral is "partial 16S ribosomal RNA". It matches the Rfam family "Bacterial small subunit ribosomal RNA", at positions 97 to 334 of the family's 1533-position model. Lineage: Bacteria; Bacillati; Actinomycetota; Actinomycetes; Actinomycetales. The record is from RNAcentral.
GGCGAACGGGUGAGUAACACGUGAGUAACCUGCCCUUGACUUUGGGAUAACUUCAGGAAACUGGGGCUAAUACCGGAUAGGAGCUCCUGCUGCAUGGUGGGGGUUGGAAAGUUUCGGCGGUUGGGGAUGGACUCGCGGCUUAUCAGCUUGUUGGUGGGGCAGUGGCUUACCAAGGCUUUGACGGGUAGCCGGCCUGAGAGGGUGACCGGCCACAUUGGGACUGAGAUACGGCCCAG